Molecule: ribosomal RNA, 120 nt
Filed under: Rosa chinensis
Lineage: Eukaryota; Viridiplantae; Streptophyta; Magnoliopsida; Rosales; Rosaceae
Source: RNAcentral
GGGUGCGAUCAUACCAGCAAUAAUGCACCGGAUCCCAUCAGAACUCCGAAGUUAAGCUUGCUUUGGCGAGAGCAGUACUAGGAUGGGUGACCUCCUGGGAAGUCCUCGUGUUGCACCCUC